GAUGAACGCUGGCGGCGUGCCUAAUACAUGCAAGUCGAGCGAACAGAUGAGGAGCUUGCUCCUCUGACGUUAGCGGCGGACGGGUGAGUAACACGUGUAUAACCUACCUAUAAGACUGGGAUAACUUCGGGAAACCGGAGCUAAUACCGGAUAAUAUAUUGAACCGCAUGGUUCAUUAGUGAAAGACGGUUUUGCUGUCACUUAUAGAUGGAUCCGCGCCGCAUUAGCUAGUUGGUAAGGUAACGGCUUACCAAGGCAACGAUGCGUAGCCGACCUGAGAGGGGGAUAGGACACACGGGAACGGAGACACGGACCAGACUACUAAGGGAGGCAGCAGUAGGGAAUCUUCCGCAAUGGGCGAAAGCCUGACGGAGCAACGACGCGUGAGUGAUGAAGGUCUUCGGAUCGUAAAACUCUGUUAUUAGGGAAGAACAAAUGUGUAAGUAACUAUGCACGUAUUGACGGUACCUAAUCAGAAAGCCACGGCUAACUACGUG
This 497-nucleotide ribosomal RNA is filed under the name uncultured bacterium. RNAcentral's name for it is "partial 16S ribosomal RNA". It matches the Rfam family "Bacterial small subunit ribosomal RNA", at positions 28 to 507 of the family's 1533-position model. The record is from RNAcentral.